Canis lupus familiaris (dog) is the source of this 575-nucleotide long non-coding RNA. RefSeq lists it as uncharacterized. NCBI's taxonomy places the organism in Eukaryota, Metazoa, Chordata, Mammalia, Carnivora, Canidae. The transcript has 2 exons. The record is from RefSeq and is a predicted model, not a curated record.
GGAAAAUUCCAUGUAGAUGGAUGUUAGGGACAUCAACACACCUGAGGCAGACUGAUGGGAUAUUGAAACAAGGGGUUUAAAUGGGGAAAAGAGUGGAGUCCUACCCUAGAUGAAUAACUCAAAGUCUUCUUCAGAGGGUUCACAGACAGGCUGUCCACACAUCAUAUGCAAGAAAGAAUUAUAUUCCAAGUUUACAACCCUCACUACUGGGAACCCAACCUCCUAUGAUUUAGAUUGAUUGGGCUAAUGUGAAACUAUCUUAAGGAUUCAACCACUCUUGCUAUUACGGCUAUCUGCUACUAAUGCUGUAUAUAAAGGAGAUGUGUGAUUGCUGAGGCUGAUCUAUCAACAUAUCUGCAGGAAGUUCUUCAUUUAAUAUCUUAUUGAUUUUGUGAAUGAAAGUGUUUAAAUUCCCUCUUCAGAUUGCUUAUUGCUAGUUUACAGAAAUAAUUUUUUAUACAGAUUCUAAAUCAUAAACAUUCGACUUGUUUCAGGUUUUAUUUUUAUUGUGAAAUUCCUUUGGAUUUUUUAUAUUAUCAUACAGUUUGCAAAUAAAGACAGGGUUACUUCUAAGA